GACGAACGCUGGCGGCGUGCUUAACACAUGCAAGUCGAACGGAAAGGCCCUGCUUUUGUGGGGUGCUCGAGUGGCGAACGGGUGAGUAACACGUGAGUAACCUGCCCUUGACUUUGGGAUAACUUCAGGAAACUGGGGCUAAUACCGGAUAGGAGCUCCUGCUGCAUGGUGGGGGUUGGAAAGUUUCGGCGGUUGGGGAUGGACUCGCGGCUUAUCAGCUUGUUGGUGGGGUAGUGGCUUACCAAGGCUUUGACGGGUAGCCGGCCUGAGAGGGUGACCGGCCACAUUGGGACUGAGGUACGGCCCAGAGUCCUACGGGAGGCAGCAGUGGGGAAUAUUGCACAAUGGGAGGAAGCCUGAUGCAGCAACGCCGCGUGCGGGAUGACGGCCUUCGGGUUGUAAACCGCUUUCGCCUGUGACGAAGCGUGAGUGACGGUAAUGGGUAAAGAAGCACCGGCUAACUACGUG
This 468-nucleotide ribosomal RNA is filed under the name uncultured bacterium. RNAcentral describes it as "partial 16S ribosomal RNA". It matches the Rfam family "Bacterial small subunit ribosomal RNA", at positions 28 to 507 of the family's 1533-position model. The record is from RNAcentral.